RNAcentral lists this transfer RNA (67 nucleotides) under Heterosigma akashiwo. It matches the Rfam family "tRNA". Rfam says of the family: Transfer RNA (tRNA) molecules are approximately 80 nucleotides in length. Their secondary structure includes four short double-helical elements and three loops (D, anti-codon, and T loops). Further hydrogen bonds mediate the characteristic L-shaped molecular structure. tRNAs have two regions of fundamental functional importance: the anti-codon, which is responsible for specific mRNA codon recognition, and the 3' end, to which the tRNAs corresponding amino acid is attached (by aminoacyl-tRNA synthetases). tRNAs cope with the degeneracy of the genetic code in two manners: having more than one tRNA (with a specific anti-codon) for a particular amino acid; and 'wobble' base-pairing, i.e. permitting non-standard base-pairing at the 3rd anti-codon position. The record is from RNAcentral. Lineage: Eukaryota; Raphidophyceae; Chattonellales; Chattonellaceae.
CAUGUAACUCAGUGGAAGAGUGUCAGACUCCGACUCUGGAAGUCGAAGGUUCAAAUCCUUCCAUGCU